CUACGAUUCAAACAAUAAAUGUACAAAAUGGUUCACAUCAUUUCGUUUGCAGGAAUACAGAUAAAUAAACAUUUAUAAACUAUCAUAUAGAAUAGGCCGCAUUUGUAUGAACGAAAGUGGUGAAUUUUUGUAUAACAAUUAAUAUAUUUAAAAAUAAAUUCUCAGCUUCCUUGUACUUUAUGUAUACAACAAUCAACUCAGAAUUACAGAUACAGAACUGUAUAUGUAUACAUGUUUAUUAAAUAGUCGUAAUGUGCAAUGCACGAAUAUGCAUACUUAUUGCGUCAAUGUAUCAUUAAUAAUGCAUACGUAAAUAUGAAUUGCUAAAAAAACUGUAGUAAAAUACAUUUCCUAUUACGUUCUACAAUUUAAAUCAAGAAUUCAUGAACGUUUGAAGAUGCAUUACUAAAUCCGCGGUUACCGUAAAUUGAUUUCUGUAUCACCAUGGAGUUGAAGAGCUGUUUACGUUUGCUUUCGAGGCGAAACCAUCAGCAUUGAAGCGAUGUUAAAAUGCAAAAUACGUGCAGUGGGAUCAGUGAAAUCUUAUCAUAAUGAUAAUAUUGAACGAUAAAUAGAUCAGGCUUGCUAAAUACUUUACUGUUUCAUCGAUAUAUUCGUAGAUAUACAGAAUGAAGUCGGACGAAAUAGAAUCCCCGCAGUCAUCGAAGUUUAAAAUUAAUGUAGCGGGGAAAAAGAGAAAACUCGGAGACAAGAAUGUGACCUCGAUUAUUUUCCAACAACGACAGAACGUUCGCAUUAUACACGACGAUGUUGAUGUAACACCGAAGUUGUUAACCCAUCCUACAUACAGCUCGAUCGACGAGAAGCAAAUAACCGCGUUUGAAACGAUCGGACUGUCUCAAACUGGCAGUGUUGGUCAACUGUCUGUCAUUUCUGGUAUAAGUACUAUAAAAAGAAGCUCGUCCACGAUUGUUAGGACGUCUUCACUUCCGUCUGCUUCGGACGAAGGAUUGUUCGAAAGUCUACUGUCCACGCAGGCGGAAGACUCCGACGUUGACCUCGAUGACGAAGACAGAGCUCCAUCUCAAUUUUAUCUACCUAGCGUCGAUCCGAAUAUUUUUUUUACUCGACCGGAAUCGGUGACUAUUACUCUGAAAGAGACAGAAACUUACUUUAUUUUCGAGAUGCAACCGCGAACCGGUGACUUGCGAACACUGGAAGGCCUAGCGAUCAAAGAGGAGAACGAGGGCUAUGAAUAUAAAACGAUCGGGCCCGGUUCGAAUAGGAAAUUAUUGGAAGCCGAAACUCAAACGAUACAAGUGCUCACUAGAUCUCGUGGAACGUACCUGAGCAGGCGGAGACGUAGAAAUCAGGGCAUGAUCGUGAAUAAUUGGGUGAUGUACGAUACUUACGAAAAUCUUGAACUGCUGCUGGAGAGAAAUGGUAUACUUGUAGCGCACAGGAAACAGUCUAUAGACAAAAUGCUACAAGCAGAGAACUUGAAGUCCAGGUUACCGGUACAGACAAAGAGGAACGAAAAGACGAUGGAAGAGGAGCAGAUACGCCUGUUCUCUACCGACAAUUUCCGGAACGCGAUGCGAAUAAUGGAACGCAUAAUAUCGAACAACAUUUGCAUCAAAGCGCAGAAACGCUUCACUGGUCUGAUUAAACAAGAUCCUUGCAGUUUCGACUUAGAGUUCACGUACAGUCUGGACAUCCUUUGGCUCCACGAAUGCUCAAUGGCUUCCGGAAGGCCGGUGUCUACGUUCCGUUGGAAUUACGUUAAUAACAGCAUUUUAGCCGUCGCGUACGGUGCGCAGACGAAUUCGGAAACGAAGAACGGCUUGGUCUUGCUAUGGUGCGCGAAGAAUCCCUCGGUACCGGCUCGUGUGUACAAUUUCAAUAGUCCAGUGUCGGAUCUCGACUGGAGUCGGGACAAACCCAAUCUUCUCGCGAUCGGCUUGUACAACGGCGAGAUCCAGGUGAUCGACGUGAGCCGUAUAGAUAUAAAUGUCGUACGCCGAAGUAAAAAGUCUCCCUCGAGUUCCCCGCACUGGCAGGUUCAAUGGUGGGCGGGCGACGAACAGUUCGAGUAUCAAGAGCAAAUUUAUACGUGUGACCAGGACGGCUGCAUAUUAUGCUACCGUUACGUCGAGGAUUUUACAGCGAUGACGAUUAUGAAGGUGUUCAGGAUCGAGGGUACGCUACCUGGCGUCACCAGGACCGUUCAAUGCAAUCUUUACGACAUAUCAAUCAACCGUAGUCCCGGAGCACUGGUGCUUUGCAAACAUCCAACACUGAGCUCUAUCUAUUUCGUCGGCUCGAACGAGGGUUGCAUAUACAAGUGUUCAACCAAUUAUUUGUACCAGCAUAUAGACAGUUUCCUGGCACACGACGGGCCGAUGUACUCGAUGAUGUUCUCGCCGUUCUGCCCGAAAAUAUUCCUCACGUCCGGCGCCGAUUGGUGCAUACGAAUUUGGGCAGAAGGAUUAACGGAACCGUUGAUUACUUUGUCGACGGUGAUGGCCUGCGUCCGAUACGCGGUGUGGUCACCUGUUCAUUCGACCAUUAUUGCGAGCAUUGUGAACAACGAGAUUUGUAUAUGGGAUAUCAGACGAAAAAUUCAUAAACCAGCAUCAGUAACGAUUUCGCCGAACAGUGCUAGGUUUGUCAUGGUCGAUUUCACGGCGAAUGGUAACCAGCUAGUAGUCGCGGACGUGGAGGGUGUUGUAUACGUGUAUAAUCUUGAGGGAAUGCCGUUUCCGCCGUACAAUCAGGAACAGGUGCUAGUCGAGUCGAUCGAGAAAGCUUUGAUUACGCGGCCGACACUCCUGAAGAACUUGAAGAAGAUCGGCCCGCCGUUCGAUGAGUAAAAUGAAACGAGGAUCUUAAUCCCGUCACAACUUUGUCUUUACCUAGGUACUCAUAUACAAGUACAUUGUCAUCAUCAUAAAACAAGUAUUUUCAAUAAUCUAUGGAACGCUGGAAUGCCAUGUAGAGUAUGCGUUCACUUGAGAAUUCAAAGACAGUUACAACUGAGAUCAGACAAUGCUUUGACGAGAUUUAAACGGCUGAUGAGUCCAACAUUUAUUAUGUGCUUUAAAUCUUCGGAUCCUCGCUGACGUCGUUAGCGGCUCAUCACAGUUUAAACUUCUUUAUCGACGGUAAAGCCUCGGGCAAAAUCCAGCACGUGGGGACCCCUCACGGGUACCGGAAGCGAAGAGAGUUGUAGCUCGAAGGGCCCUCGCGUGAUUCGUGCGAAGCAAGGAAAGCAAAGCAACCAUUUCGAUUCAGGAUGGGACGCCGGGCCUACUGCGGGACCUGGUAGGCAGGCAAGUCGGCACGGAUGGCUGGCUGGCUUGCUUGGAGGAGUUGCAGGAGAGUGCCAUGGUAGAGGGGCUUCCCUUGGCUGCUGCCGCUUGCGGGCACGAACCGCGCUACCGCCGUCAGCAGACAGUCUUAUUACGCCCGCACUCAACUACGCGAACUAAGUACUCUCCUUAGGCCGGUCAAACGUCGAAUAACGACCGCCGGAUCCGGCUGACGCGUGAAUCCGGGACGAAUACCUCGAACGGUGUUCCUUUUGUGCCAAGGAACGGAAUCCUUCUGGUAUAUUCAAUGGUACUACGAUACUACGCGUAUUUUUUCAGUAGGCGACUCGCGUUUUCGAGUUGAUGAGACUCUGUCCCCGAAAUCGGUUCGAGCGAAGAGGCUUUGGGUUCGAUUUGCUCGGAGAGGACUUACUGCCCGGUUAGAGGUUACCGCACUCGAUUCGAGCAUGCAUUUACUGGGUUCCGACGCUCGUCGAUUGUUGACGUGCACGGAGAUGCGGUCAGUGUGAGGACUGCUUAAUAGCGAGGAACAUGUGCAACCAGGGAAUAGUGGCGAGGCCGAUGUUGCCGGAGCACGAGCUACACUGUGACCACUCUGUUCUCGACGAACCCUAACUGAUUCCACCGCUCGAGUUCGUUUCACCAGCUGACGACCGCUUCAUGUAUACCGGAGUCUGGAAAUCGUCGCAGUGAAUGUUGUCGCGCCGAAAAUUUGCGUGGUAAUCGCGGGACGUUCGUGUCGGAACGGUAAAAGUGUUGGAUCGAUUUUACGCGCACGGUGUAUAAACUAAGUUUCUUUCGGAAGAAGGCGAGGUGUGUCCACGAAAUUACACGUCUUCACGUACAUUUGGUACGCUAUGAACAUCGAGGUCCUUGGAUGCAACGGGUGGUUCGCAAGAGGAGAAAAGGGUAG
Ceratina calcarata is the source of this 4206-nucleotide RNA transcript. RefSeq lists it as uncharacterized. The transcript is spliced from 6 exons. Lineage: Eukaryota; Metazoa; Arthropoda; Insecta; Hymenoptera; Apidae. The record is from RefSeq and is a predicted model, not a curated record.